UGCAGUCGACGAUGAUCUCCAGCUUGCUGGGGGGAUUAGUGGCGAACGGGUGAGUAACACGUGAGUAACCUGCCCUUAACUCUGGGAUAAGCCUGGGAAACUGGGUCUAAUACCGGAUAUGACUCCUCAUCGCAUGGUGGGGGGUGGAAAGCUUUUGUGGUUUUGGAUGGACUCGCGGCCUAUCAGCUUGUUGGUGAGGUAAUGGCUCACCAAGGCGACGACGGGUAGCCGGCCUGAGAGGGUGACCGGCCACACUGGGACUGAGACACGGCCCAGACUCCUACGGGAGGCAGCAGUGGGGAAUAUUGCACAAUGGGCGCAAGCCUGAUGCAGCGACGCCGCGUGAGGGAUGACGGCCUUCGGGUUGUAAACCUCUUUCAGUAGGGAAGAAGCGAAAGUGACGGUACCUGCAGAAGAAGCGCCGGCUAACUACGUGCCAGCAGCCGCGGUAAUACGUAGGGCGCAAGCGUUAUCCGGAAUUAUUGGGCGUAAAGAGCUCGUAGGCGGUUUGUCGCGUCUGCCGUGAAAGUCCGGGGCUCAACUCCGGAUCUGCGGUGGGUACGGGCAGACUAGAGUGAUGUAGGGGAGACUGGAAUUCCUGGUGUAGCGGUGAAAUGCGCAGAUAUCAGGAGGAACACCGAUGGCGAAGGCAGGUCUCUGGGCAUUAACUGACGCUGAGGAGCGAAAGCAUGGGGAGCGAACAGGAUUAGA
RNAcentral lists this ribosomal RNA (711 nucleotides) under Arthrobacter sp. RNAcentral's name for it is "bacterial SSU rRNA". It matches the Rfam family "Bacterial small subunit ribosomal RNA", at positions 56 to 782 of the family's 1533-position model. Lineage: Bacteria; Bacillati; Actinomycetota; Actinomycetes; Micrococcales; Micrococcaceae. The record is from RNAcentral.